CCACCGCGGUUAGACGAUAGGCCCUAGUUGAUUAUACCUACGGCGUAAAGGGUGGUUAAGGAUAUAUAUUAAUAAAGCCAAAUGGCCCUUUGGCCGUCAUACGCUUCUAGGUGUCUGAGGCCCCAUACGAAAGUAGCUUUAAUAAAUUUUCCUGACCCCACGAAAACUGAGAAACAAACUGGGAUUAGAUACCCCACUAUGCUCAGCCGUAAACUUAGACAUUCACCUACGAUUAAAUGUCCGCCAGGGUACUACGAGCAUUAGCUUAAAACCCAAAGGACCUGACGGUGUCUCAGACCCCCCUAGAGGAGCCUGUUCUAGAACCGAUAACCCCCGUUAAACCUCACCACUCCUAGUCACCCCAGCCUAUAUACCGCCGUCGUCAGCUUACCCCGUGAGGGCAAUAGAAGUAAGCAAAAUGGGCACAACCCAGAACGUCAGGUCGAGGUGUAGCGUAUGAAGUGGAAAGAAAUGGGCUACAUUUUCUAUUACAGAACAUUACGAACAUGCACUAUGAAAUUUAAUGCUUGAAGGAGGAUUUAGUAGUAAAAAGGAAACAGAGUGUCCCUUUGAACCUGGCUCUGAAACGCGUACAUACCGCCCGUCACUCUCCCCUGUCAAAACGCACCAAACAUUCAUAAUUAACUAGCAAUGACAAGGGGAGGCAAGUCGUAACACG
Molecule: ribosomal RNA, 679 nt
Filed under: Osteochilus waandersii
Lineage: Eukaryota; Metazoa; Chordata; Actinopteri; Cypriniformes; Cyprinidae
Description: partial 12S ribosomal RNA
Rfam family: Bacterial small subunit ribosomal RNA
Source: RNAcentral